RNAcentral lists this long non-coding RNA (1605 nucleotides) under Lathyrus oleraceus (garden pea). RNAcentral describes it as "Pisum sativum (pea) long non-coding RNA (PSAT_LNC036084)". Lineage: Eukaryota; Viridiplantae; Streptophyta; Magnoliopsida; Fabales; Fabaceae. The record is from RNAcentral.
AUGGUUAGAGAUCAAGACUCAUCAAGCUUGCACAUAGAAAUGAGACUACAAACUAAACCACAAAACAAAUGUUCAAAAAUAAAAAUAAAAUUGCAAACAAAAUAAAAUGAUAUUAAACUCAUGUAGUGCAAUAUGACGAAGCAAUUAUUAAAAGCACAUGACAGAAUAACAGACGAAAAUAUAAUCCAAAAUGUUGAAUGAAAAUAAGAAAAUAAACAAAAUAAUUGAAAAAAAAAAAGGGGUAUAUCACUGAAAUUGGUGGUGGAAAGAGGAAAUGGGCGCUGAAACCCAAUCCAAGGCCCAUUGGCCUUGGUCCUCACAGAAUGAGGGUGUAGUGGACUCUUGCAUGGUGCAAGCAAGCAAUCACAUGAGCCUUAGCCCAAUCUGCUUACCAAAGGAGAUCCAAUCUCUUCCACCACGUGCCAAAUCAUCUCCAUCAUAGUUCAAACAUUCCAUCCACUUGCCGUGACCGGAGAGUCAGCCUCCGUCGUGCCAGAGCUCAUCAUCGACGGCGGCGAAGCUCCAAACAUGAACCAUCAGAAACCAAAACAAUCGUCUCCACCUCGUGGACCCGAAUCCCUUAUCCAAAUAAAUCAAGUCUAAACCUACUAAUCGAAUUGCAUCCAAUUGUGUAAGAACCCUAAGUUGAUUUUCCAGAAAUUAAAUGUUCAGUGAUGGAGAUUAAAGGUUAACAGGUUAGGGCUUGGAUCUCCUAACCUGACACUACAUCAUGAUAACCAGAUCAAAGUGGGAACAAAGGUUUGAAUAAAAUACCUGUCGGAGACGACGAUGGAGGUGGCGGCAACAGUAAUGAGAUUCUCAGGUAUGCUCCAAUGCUCUUCUAAUUCCACUUUAUUCCUUCUUCGUAUUCUUCUUCUGUCCAAUGCCUUGUUCUUCCACUUCUUCUUUAAUUUCUUGCUCUUACUUAGAAUGGAGAUAUUGAGUUUUGUGAGUGUGCCCAGAAUGUGUUAGAAAGCCAUCCUUCCUCCCUAAUGAUUGGCAAUGAUUGCCUCAUUUAUAGAGCAAUCCAAGGGGGUAGUUUAGGGAAUUGAAUCUGAGUUGUUAGAUCAUGAUUUAUCCAGCUGGAAAUUAAGUGAAUUUCUGGAAAUGAAAUUUGAGCUAUAAUAUGGAAUUAGGUCACGUGGCAUUUAGCUGUGCACAUGAUUUAUUCCCUUUAAUUCAUUUGCAACUGAUUUUCCAUUUAGCUUUGGAUAUUUGAACUGAAUUGCAUCAAAUUGGUUAGUAUAUGUUAUUGGUUCGGUUUACACUCCUACUAGGUCUCGACCUGUUUUGCUUUUGGUUAGCAAAAAAAGAGUAGUUGGAAAUGGUUUGUUCUCGUUGUGUGACAUGUCAUGUAUGAGAAACUUGGUUGCUAAUUAUGCUCGGACUGUUAUGAUUAAUUUGGAAGUUGAAACAGCUAUGCUAUAGUGAUUUUUGUCAAGAUUAGCUUCUUAACUAGUUGAACUUUUGUUUAAUCAAAUGAAUGUGUUGUAAUGCUCAGGACAAAAUGCAACGACACAAAAUUGAAUUGCAAUUUCAGCAUGCUAGUGAAAUAUGAAUGCAUUAUUAGUAAUUGAGAAUUGAUGAUCAUUAGUCAGGACUUGC